UAACGGUAUUGGUUGCUUUAU
Caenorhabditis elegans is the source of this 21-nucleotide non-coding RNA. NCBI's taxonomy places the organism in Eukaryota, Metazoa, Nematoda, Chromadorea, Rhabditida, Rhabditidae. The record is from Ensembl.